GACGAACGCUGGCGGCGUGCUUAACACAUGCAAGUCGAACGCUGAAGCUCAGCUUUUGUUGGGUGGAUGAGUGGCGAACGGGUGAGUAACACGUGAGUAACCUGCCCCCUUCUUUGGGAUAACGCCCGGAAACGGGUGCUAAUACUGGAUAUUCACUGGUCUUCGCAUGGGGGUUGGUGGAAAGGGUUUUUCUGGUGGGGGAUGGGCUCGCGGCCUAUCAGCUUGUUGGUGGGGUGAUGGCCUACCAAGGCUUUGACGGGUAGCCGGCCUGAGAGGGUGACCGGUCACAUUGGGGCUGAGAUACGGCCCAGACUCCUACGGGAGGCAGCAGUGGGGAAGAUUGCACAAUGGGCGCAAGCCUGAUGCAGCGACGCCGCGUGAGGGAUGGAGGCCUUCGGGUUGUGAACCUCUUUCGCUCAUGGUCAAGCCGCAACAAUGGUUGUGGUGAGGGUAGUGGGUAAAGAAGCGCCGGCUAACUACGUG
RNAcentral lists this ribosomal RNA (483 nucleotides) under uncultured bacterium. RNAcentral's name for it is "partial 16S ribosomal RNA". It matches the Rfam family "Bacterial small subunit ribosomal RNA", at positions 28 to 507 of the family's 1533-position model. The record is from RNAcentral.